UGGGGAAUAUUGGACAAUGGGCGCAAGCCUGAUCCAGCCAUGCCGCGUGUGUGAAGAAGGCCUUUUGGUUGUAAAGCACUUUAAGCGAGGAGGAGGCUACUUGGAUUAAUACUCUAGGAUAGUGGACGUUACUCGCAGAAUAAGCACCGGCUAACUCUGUGCCAGCAGCCGCGGUAAUACAGAGGGUGCGAGCGUUAAUCGGAUUUACUGGGCGUAAAGCGUGCGUAGGCGGCUUCUUAAGUCGGAUGUGAAAUCCCUGAGCUUAACUUAGGAAUUGCAUUCGAUACUGGGAAGCUAGAGUAUGGGAGAGGAUGGUAGAAUGCCAGGUGUAGCGGUGAGAUGCGUAGAGAUCUGGAGGAAUACCGAUGGCGAAGGCAGCCAUCUGGCCUAAUACUGACGCUGAGGUACGAAAGCAUGGGGAGCAAACAGG
RNAcentral lists this ribosomal RNA (430 nucleotides) under bacterium. Its description in RNAcentral is "partial 16S ribosomal RNA". It matches the Rfam family "Bacterial small subunit ribosomal RNA", at positions 355 to 776 of the family's 1533-position model. The record is from RNAcentral.